RNAcentral lists this ribosomal RNA (441 nucleotides) under uncultured bacterium. RNAcentral's name for it is "bacterial SSU rRNA". It matches the Rfam family "Bacterial small subunit ribosomal RNA", at positions 87 to 524 of the family's 1533-position model. The record is from RNAcentral.
GCUGACGAGUGGCGAACGGGUGAGUAAUAUAUCGGAACGUGCCCAAUAGUGGGGGAUAGCCCGGCGAAAGCCGGAUUAAUACCGCAUACGACCUACGGGUGAAAGGGGGGGAUCGCAAGACCUCUCGCUAUUGGAGCGGCCGAUAUCAGAUUAGCUAGUUGGUGGGGUAAAAGCUCACCAAGGCGACGAUCUGUAGCUGGUCUGAGAGGACGACCAGCCACACUGGGACUGAGACACGGCCCAGACUCCUACGGGAGGCAGCAGUGGGGAAUUUUGGACAAUGGACGAAAGUCUGAUCCAGCCAUGCCGCGUGCGGGAAGAAGGCCUUCGGGUUGUAAACCGCUUUUGUCAGGGAAGAAAAGCUCCGAACUAAUAAUUUGGAGUGAUGACGGUACCUGAAGAAUAAGCACCGGCUAACUACGUGCCAGCAGCCGCGGUAAU